AAUCUCUGAGAGCUGUUUUGCCUUUUGGGAGUGGUUUAGAAAACCACUAGAUCUUUUGAAGCUAAAUUAGAAUGGGUUUCCAGAGCUUCUCCUACGUCUGCUUUUUCUUGAAAAUAACCAGUUCAAGAUAAUCCUGUGCCAAAGAGGCGUAUUUUGGAGUGGCAAAUUCUGCUCCACUUCAUGGCUCAACUAGGAGAGCCGUCAGCUUGCUGGAAUGAAACAGGUGCCUCUGAGUGAUAGCACCUCAACGCAAGGUUGACAGAAGGGAAGCCAUAUUGUAGAAGAGAAACCAUAUUCUAACUUUGAAUGACCUCUGAUUAACUAACCUAUCCGGAUAUGCACCCUCCAGGAGAUGUACGUGCUCUGUAGACUUUGUGCCCUUUCCCAGUUGC
Molecule: long non-coding RNA, 392 nt
Filed under: Equus caballus (horse)
Lineage: Eukaryota; Metazoa; Chordata; Mammalia; Perissodactyla; Equidae
Description: lncRNA (ENSECAG00000050907.1)
Source: RNAcentral